UGUCACCUUUGAAUCGAAUAGUACCAUAACGAAUAUUAUAUAUAAACAUAAAAAGAUAUUGAAUGACGAAAUCGACAAAAGAAACGAACCAAUUAAAAAAAAAGAUUUUUAUCUAGAUGACGAUGAUUGUGAUGAUAAGGUGUUUUUAGGCCAUCGAUUGGUCAAAAAACAACUAUACUCGUUUUUAAUCAUAAGGGAUAAUGGAAGUCGUGCUAUUGUUAUUACUGAAAAAUAUAAUUUGGCUAAAAAAAUAAUAAGCAGUAAAAAUUUCAGUAUGAUAUAUAAAAUGAUAACAUUAAAUAAUAGAAAAGAUAUUUUAUUAUCCAAAAAGAAUAAAUGCAAAAAAUAUAUUUUAAAUAACAAAAAACUGAAUUUUGUAUAUUUUAAUUUUCCAAAUGUUCAUAUAGUGUAUAAAAUAAGUAUACCUAACAUAACAGUAACAUGGAUACAUAGACAAGACGUCAUAAUAGCCAUGUAUUUAAAUGACAUACGUCAUAGUGGUAAUAUAUAUUCAAGAGAAAUGUUAUUAUAUGAUAACAGUUAUAAAAAUAGGUUUAUUUUGAUAAAUAUAUUAAAAAAAAGAGAAUUAAAAUAUUAUGUACAACAUGUUUUUUUAAACAGUUAUAUAGAUUUUACAUUUUUAAUUGAACAAAUACAUAUUGAUCAUUUUGUUAAGGGUGAUAUACCUGUUAUUUUAAAAAAUACUAAUAUAAAUGAAAAUGAAAAAGAAAAUAUAUUUUUAUAUAUUCAUAUAAAACAAUAUUGUGUCGAUUCGGUUAAACAGGCACCCAUAUAUAAAAGUAUAUCCAUCAGGAUUGCUCCAUUAAAUGCAAAUAUUGAAUUAUUAGUUAUUGAACAAUUAAUAGAAAUAAUAGAAAAAGAAAAAAGGUUAUUAUUACUAUUAUAUGAAAAAGAACCUAUAAAUUUAUUACCUCCUCUUAUAUCCACAUCACAAACAGCUAAAAAUGCUAUAAAGACAACAUUAAAAAUAUUUUCGGAUCACAAUUUUUUAAAACAGUUAAAUAUAAAUGAGUAUAUACACAGUAAAAAUCAAAAUGGUUUUAUUGCAAAAAAUAUAAGGAAAGAAAACAACUAUAUGAUAAACAAUACAGUGAACUUAACUCAAAAAAAAAAUUAUAACAGUAAUAUUGUUCAGAAUAAUAUUAUGAAUUAUAAUAAUACCUAUUUAAAUCGUAAUAAAAAUCGUUUAGAACUAACUAAUAUAAAGCCUAAUAUAUAUACUUAUGAUUUUGGUUUACUUAGGAGUAGAAUGAUAACACAACAAAAGUUAAUGUAUUUGCAGAAGUUGUCGAAGUCGUUAGAAGGGCAAGGGGUGGAUUUUAGUGGCAGCAGUAGUGGUAGUAGUAGUAGUAGUAGUAGUGGUAGCAGUGGUAAUAGUAGUAUUGGUAGCAGUGGUAGCAGUAACAGUAGAAGUAGCAAUAACAGUAGCAGUACUAGUGACAAUGAUAACAAAAUUAUACAUUUCAAAACGAGUAACAGUGAUAAUAGCAGUUACAUCCAAAGCCAAAGCCAAAGCUCGAGUAGCUACAACAAUAAUAACAACAGUAUACUAUAUUGCAACAAAAACAAAAUGAAUAUACAACCUAGAAAAUUAUACAAA
This is a long non-coding RNA of Piliocolobus tephrosceles (Ugandan red Colobus), 1621 nucleotides long. The record is from Ensembl. NCBI's taxonomy places the organism in Eukaryota, Metazoa, Chordata, Mammalia, Primates, Cercopithecidae.